GUACACAAAAAUGCACAUGCUGUGAGCUCGAUGAGUAGGGCGGGACACGUGGUAUCCUGUCUGAAUAUGGGGGGACCAUCCUCCAAGGCUAAAUACUCCUGACUGACCGAUAGUGAACCAGUACCGUGAGGGAAAGGCGAAAAGAACCCCGGCGAGGGGAGUGAAAAAGAACCUGAAACCGUGUACGUACAAGCAGUGGGAGCACGCUUAGGCGUGUGACUGCGUACCUUUUGUAUAAUGGGUCAGCGACUUAUAUUCUGUAGCAAGGUUAACCGAAUAGGGGAGCCGAAGGGAAACCGAGUCUUAACUGGGCGUUAAGUUGCAGGGUAUAGACCCGAAACCCGGUGAUCUAGCCAUGGGCAGGUUGAAGGUUGGGUAACACUAACUGGAGGACCGAACCGACUAAUGUUGAAAAAUUAGCGGAUGACUUGUGGCUGGGGGUGAAAGGCCAAUCAAACCGGGAGAUAGCUGGUUCUCCCCGAAAGCUAUUUAGGUAGCGCCUCGUGAAUUCAUCUCCGGGGGUAGAGCACUGUUUCGGCAAGGGGGUCAUCCCGACUUACCAACCCGAUGCAAACUGCGAAUACCGGAGAAUGUUAUCACGGGAGACACACGGCGGGUGCUAACGUCCGUCGUGAAGAGGGAAACAACCCAGACCGCCAGCUAAGGUCCCAAAGUCAUGGUUAAGUGGGAAACGAUGUGGGAAGGCCCAGACAGCCAGGAUGUUGGCUUAGAAGCAGCCAUCAUUUAAAGAAAGCGUAAUAGCUCACUGGUCGAGUCGGCCUGCGCGGAAGAUGUAACGGGGCUAAACCAUGCACCGAAGCUGCGGCAGCGACGCUGAUGCGUUGUUGGGUAGGGGAGCGUUCUGUAAGCCUGCGAAGGUGUGCUGUGAGGCAUGCUGGAGGUAUCAGAAGUGCGAAUGCUGACAUAAGUAACGAUAAAGCGGGUGAAAAGCCCGCUCGCCGGAAGACCAAGGGUUCCUGUCCAACGUUAAUCGGGGCAGGGUGAGUCGACCCCUAAGGCGAGGCCGAAAGGCGUAGUCGAUGGGAAACAGGUUAAUAUUCCUGUACUUGGUGUUACUGCGAAGGGGGGACGGAGAAGGCUAUGUUGGCCGGGCGACGGUUGUCCCGGUUUAAGCGUGUAGGCUGGUUUUCCAGGCAAAUCCGGAAAAUCAAGGCUGAGGCGUGAUGACGAGGCACUACGGUGCUGAAGCAACAAAUGCCCUGCUUCCAGGAAAAGCCUCUAAGCAUCAGGUAACAUCAAAUCGUACCCCAAACCGACACAGGUGGUCAGGUAGAGAAUACCAAGGCGCUUGAGAGAACUCGGGUGAAGGAACUAGGCAAAAUGGUGCCGUAACUUCGGGAGAAGGCACGCUGAUAUGUAGGUGAAGUCCCUCGCGGAUGGAGCUGAAAUCAGUCGAAGAUACCAGCUGGCUGCAACUGUUUAUUAAAAACACAGCACUGUGCAAACACGAAAGUGGACGUAUACGGUGUGACGCCUGCCCGGUGCCGGAAGGUUAAUUGAUGGGGUCAGCGCAAGCGAAGCUCUUGAUCGAAGCCCCGGUAAACGGCGGCCGUAACUAUAACGGUCCUAAGGUAGCGAAAU
This 1602-nucleotide ribosomal RNA is filed under the name Escherichia coli. RNAcentral's name for it is "partial 23S ribosomal RNA". It matches the Rfam family "Bacterial large subunit ribosomal RNA", at positions 375 to 1965 of the family's 2925-position model. Lineage: Bacteria; Pseudomonadati; Pseudomonadota; Gammaproteobacteria; Enterobacterales; Enterobacteriaceae. The record is from RNAcentral.